AUACGGAAGGUCCGGGCGUUAUCCGGAUUUAUUGGGUUUAAAGGGAGCGCAGGCGGAGAUGCAAGCGUGACGUCAAAUUUCGGGGCUCAACCCCGUCUCGCGUCGCGAACUGCGUCCCUUGGUUGCGGGAAGGGGAGGCGGAACUCGUGGUGUAGCGGUGAAAUGCGUAGAUAUCACGAAGAACUCCGAUCGCGAAGGCAGCCUUCCGGCCCGUCAACGACGCUCAUGCUCGAAGGUGCGGGUAUCAAACAGGAUUAGAUACCCUGGUAGUCCGCACAGUAAACGAUGGACACCCGCGGUUUGGCCUGUAUGGCUGAGCCGCCAAGCGAAAGCGUUAAGUGUCCCACCUGGGGAGUACGCCGGCAACGGUGAAACUUAAAGGAAUUGACGGGG
Molecule: ribosomal RNA, 393 nt
Filed under: uncultured bacterium
Lineage: Bacteria
Description: partial 16S ribosomal RNA
Rfam family: Bacterial small subunit ribosomal RNA
Source: RNAcentral